This is a long non-coding RNA of Macaca mulatta (Rhesus monkey), 7520 nucleotides long. RefSeq lists it as uncharacterized. The record is from RefSeq and is a predicted model, not a curated record. Lineage: Eukaryota; Metazoa; Chordata; Mammalia; Primates; Cercopithecidae.
UAGUAGAGACAGGGUUUCACCAUGUUGGCCAGGCUGGUCUUGAACUCCUGACCUCAGGUGAUCCACCCACCUUGGCCUCCCAAAGUGCUGGGAUUACAGGUGUGAGCCACUGCACCUUGCCCAUUAUACAUUCUUUCUAUUCUCAGUUUUUCUCUUUAAUAUUUUAGAGUCAGAGACUAAUGACUCCCGCAUCAACACCCCAAUUAAAUAGACUUUUCCCCGUUUAUCACCUUUCCUUUAAUUUCCUCAUUCAAAGCAUGAUUCAGUCGUCCUCUCCUCUUGCUGCUUAAACCUCUCACCAGCUCUCAGUCAGUGCUCCCAGAUGCAGCUUUCAUUGCAUGUGAUGUUGUUUAAUUUCACUUGUCUUAUGUAUAAUCACAUCAAGCCAUUUAUUUGUUAAUAGGCCGUUUGGUGGCUUCACAGUUGGAAUUACUGUACAUCACAUUUCAUUUCCACAAGGACAUCCUUUAUGCCAGUCUGCCUUAUGCGGCAUUCGUCUUUUCCUCCUGCCAGGCUGGGCCAGCUUCUCCCGCUGUAUCUCCCAAAUCAGCUGUUCAUUUUCCCCCUGCUGCUGUCACUGAUAAUUUCCAGGUUAAAUCUUAUAAGCGGAAAUUGGAUCCACAGCUGGAGUUGAAACACAGCUCCUUGGAGUUAUUACCACAGUCUGUUCCCAGGUAGAUGGAAGAGUUGAAGAUGAUAGAUUUCCAGCGCCUAGGAAUAACAAUGCCGUCCCUCUAACCACAACUACGGUGGCAUUACUUUCCUCUGGGGAGAGCAAUAUUUUUACCUUUUCACUCUGAGUUUAUAUCAGGGGGAUUCAAGAGAGGCAAGUGGUUUUUCAGUAGUUUUCUGUUAUUUUAUGAGAGAUGAGUUAAAGUGAUAAUGUAGGAUGGACAGCAAAUAAGUUAUAAGUGAUUGACCAGCCUUUUAGGCUGUCAGCUAUCUGAAAUAGAGGGUUUCUUUAUUUUUUUUUUCCACAGUAGAAACAUUUGAUUUAUUUGAUUCAAACAGUAGAAGUAUGGAAGGAUCAAAUAAAUAGGUUGGUUUGAGAAAAAAAUAUAUUUUAGAAUUUCGUGGUUUCAAAGUCUAUGCCAUAACCUUUGAAUUAUUCAGCAAUAAUUAAUUCAACAGCUAUUUACUAAGCAGCUUCCACUGUUUCAGGAUUGGAAAUAUCAGCGCAAUAGAACACACAAGAUUCCAUCUUUUUGAAGCUGGCCUUCUAGUGGGCAAGACUGAUAAUAACAAGACAACAGAUACAUAAGAUGAUUUCUAGUGUACUAGGAAGAAAAGGAAACAGGAAAAUGUGAGACCAUCUUGGGUUAGAUGGUCAGGAACAACUUCCCAUAGGAGAGGUGAUAUUAGUGAAUCCACAAUUGCUAAAGGAGAUUUGAGUAAUUAAAAGGGGUCUGGGUUGAUCUUUAUCUCUAUUUCUUUUCUCUCCAUCCCAUUCUUUCCUCUCUGACCCACCACAACCCCCAGUAACCAUCCUGAGGUCAGAAAUCUCAAGAUAUCUUAAGGAGCGUUCUCCUUAAGAUGUCAACAACAUCCACUGAGGACUGAAUAGAAGAUGCCAGCACUUGGCUCAGGUGCAGGGGAUGGCAAGAACUGAGCUCUGGGCUGUGAGGAGCUCUGGUUCUGGUCUGGCCCCAUCACUGGGGCUGUGUCACCUUGGGCAGCUCUCACCCCCUUUCUGGGCCUUAGUCUUCAUUUUCAUUUGUGAAGUCAGUUUGAUCAGAUGAUGUAUGAAAUUUCAGAGUUGUAUAGAAGGUAACCUACCUGUUACCUUAAACAAACAGUCUACAUGGGAGGAAAAGGUAGCAAUAGUUGACUUGAGGUUGUGAGGGAUCAAAGUGAGGCUCUCAGUGCCACCCCAGACCGCUCAACUUUGUCACACUGAAUCUGACCUGGAAGGUACAUGUAGGGACAGUCUCUUAUAGAGAACACACUAUCUAAUAAGUGGAGACAUGACAUGUCCUCAAAACAUCUCCCUUAUUGCCCAUUCCAGGUUUUAACAUCUGCCCCUUCCAAUUACUUUGACUCUUCAAAGGUUUUCAGUGCACCUUAAAUGGGUUGUACAUCUUCUGUCCCCUUGGAUACGGCAACAUUCAUGGACAUUUGCUUUUCUGAUUCAUCCCUUUGCUACCACCCUCAACUCAAAGCAUUAUAGGUAGGAAAAUGGACUCAAAGAUAUAUAGGUUAAUAAAGAGAAGAGGGGAAGAGCCCGGAGCACAAGCAGUGUCCACGGGCUGCUGGUCCCAGCCAGUGAGUGAGCAUACAUGAGCAACCUGGGCAUUGAGGUUGGGAGAAUGCUCAAAAAAAAAAAAAAAAAAAAAAAGUGCCAAAGUCAAUUUAAGCCAUGUUAUCCUAUUUCCUGGGAUUGGUCCUGGGUACUGAACAGAGGCUCUCAGCCAAAACCCCUACCUCACCCAGAGCACAGUAUAGACUGUAGACACUGUCGUGUGCACACUCAGAAUACAACAGCGAUGUGUUUCUGUGUGCAGCCCUGGACUGUGUGAAGUGGCUCCUCCUGGACAUGUCAACUCUCCUUGCUUGUGGCAGGACAUCAAAAUUGGUCAGACUGAAAGUGUCUGCUGAGCUGCUACCAUAUGCCAAGCAGUAUUUUCAGCAACAGGGACUCAGCAGUGAGCAAAACUGGCACAGAUCUCCAUCUUCAAGGGUCUUAGAUUGUAGUGGGGAAGACAGGAAAAAAUAGGCAUAUAAAGAAAAGCAAAUCAAUGCAUUUCAGUUGCUGAUGAAGAAUAUAAUGUGGAUAAGAAAUAACUGCAUGGGUAUUUGUGUUGCUUUACCCUGCAUGAUUGGGGAAGGUCUGAGGGAUAGAUAUUUGAGUUCAUUCGUUCAACAGAGGUAAUUAAGUACCUUCUAUACUCAGGCCCUUUUCUAGGCAGAAAGGAUUCAUUAAUGAAUAAACCAAAGAGCCCUAUACUCAGGGAGCCUUCUUUCAGCAAGAAGAGACAAAGAAAAAAUAUUUAAAGUGUAUUUUUUUACAAUAGGUAUAAUAAACUUCAUAAAUAUUUAAUGAAUUAUAAUUGAUAUAUAGGUACAAUAAUCAUUCUUAUUGCUUUAUUGAGCAAUGAACAUCAUAUAUAAGUGUGGUUGUAACCCAAAUACUAAGAUGGUGGAGCCACUUAAAGAUUUAGAUAAAGCGCUUCCCAAGAAGAAGGGUUGAGACAGCAGUGAGCAUGGUAUCCUCAAGGCACAAGUAACAUCCUAUGUGAUGGAACAUUUGUGCCAGGGAGGCAUGGAUGGGGAGAUAAGUGGUUGGAGAGAGAGACGAGAACCAGAUCAUCAAGUCUGGAUUUCAUCCAAGUUUCAAGGGAAAAGCAUGGGAAAGUUUUGAGGAGAGGGCAGAAGGAAGUGGAGAGAUCUGAUUUAAGGUUUAGAAAAUUCUCUCUGGCAGCUGGUGGAGCAACGACUUAGGGACAAGAAGGGCAGCAGGGAGAUGGGUUUGGGAGCUGUUGCAGAGGUCUAGAAGAGAGAUGGUGGUGGCUUGAACUAGGGCUGUAGCUGGAAAAAUGGUGAUACAUAGAUGAUACAUAGAUAUAUAGAAAUAUAGGCAAAUAAUAGAUGAUAGAUGAAUAGAUCGAUAAUAGAGAAAUAGGUAGACAGAUAAAUGUAGACCUGAUAGGGUAACUACUAAAUUGGUUGUAGGAUGGGAAGGAAAAGGAGAAAUCAAGGUUUUUCCCUAGGUUUGACCUGAAGAGUUGGGUGAAUAUUGGGGCCAUUUAUAGAGAGAAGGAAGGCUUUGUGGGUGGUGAAGAGGGAAUUUGGAGGAGACAAGUAAAUAGCUCAGUGUCAGCCUUUUAUAGUUUGACUUUAUACAGUAUGCAAAUGAGGAUGUGAAGUAAAUAGAUGUGAGACUACAGUUUUGAGGAGUGGGACUGGUAUUUGGAACACAUCAGUGGUGAAAUGGCAUUGAAGCUAGGGGGAGGAGAAGAGCAACUAAAGAAAGUAUAUACAUAGAGAAGAGGUUUGAAGACUGAGUUCUGGGACAUUUUCAGAUUUGGAGGUCUAAUAGAUGAUGGAGUCCCAGCAAAGGAGGGCAAGAAAGAGUGGAUUUUGACAGAUGAGGAAAACUGAGUGUAGCAUAGUAAAAUUUUGGAUUCACGGGAAAUGUUGCCGAAAGGGUAAGAUGACAGAGAAUUAAACAUUUUCCUUGAGAAGGGCUAUAGUCACCGAUGACCUUUAAAGAGUGUGGUGGAGGACAAAAACCGACUGGAGUGGGCUGAGGAGAAAAAAUAGAAAUUAGGGAGUGUCAACAGAUAGCAAAGACAGCUUUUUUUUUUUUUAAGAAUUUUCUUAGAAGUAGAGAAAAUAACUAUUUGUUGGAUCUUUAGUUGGAGUCAAGUGUUAAAAUAAAUUCUAGAACAAUAUGUGAUCAUAAAAAGGUGAGAAACGUGUAGAUGAAUGCUGUGGCUUCUUUUUUCUCUCUAGUACUAGUCCCUAGUUGGUCUGCAAUGAACUUUUGCAAGAAGGAGAAUGAGGAAGGCUCUUUUUAAGGCUGAUAGGCUGUAGCUCUCAUGGUGUGUCUUUAACUCACAGGUAGUGAGCAAGCCAUUUGCUCUCAGGGAAAAUGUGGCUUUCCUGACAGCCCCAGAUGCUCCAUCCGUCUCUGCAUCCUACAGAGUAGGAAGUAGGUGGGGCAUAUUAGAAACAAAGCACUUAAUAAAAUGUAAUAAUCGUGACUCGGGACAUAGAAGAGGCAUUCUGAAAGAGAAGUGGAGACCAACACAGACAUCUUUCCACAUAAAUGGCUUCAGAAAGCGGCAGACUCAGAGUGGAUUCGUUCAUGCGAUCCUCACCUCUCCUCCUAGUUAACAAGUUGGUAAGAUGAGGAUAGUGAAUCUGGGAUGUCUCUGAGAUGCUGCUGGUCUAACAAGCUCCCAGAUGAUUCCUAUCCAUGAGCCCCACUCUGGGUCAGUGCAUGCCAGGGAUGACAAAGGCAGGCUAACUGUCCUUAUAAGAGACAAAAGAGGAGAAGACACACAGAGGAGAAGGUCACAUGAUGCUGGAGGCAGAAAUGACAGUGAUGCAGCCGUAGCCCCGGAAGCCUCCAGACCUGGAAGAGGCAAGGGAUGGAAUUUUCCUGGAGCCUCUGGAGGAGGAUGACCCUGUGGAAACCUUGAUUUUGGACUUCUAUCCUCCAGAAUUGUGACAGAAUAAAUUUCCAUUUUUUUAAAAGUCACCCAGUUUGUGGUAAUUUGUUAUAGCAAACCCUAGAAAAAGAAUAUACUAUGCAUCAGCUUGGGGUUGGGAGGUGGGGCACAGAAAAAGAAAAGUUCCUAGGCCCUCCUAAAAGUCAUUUUGUUUAACACUGGAUCCAUGCAUUUGGCAUGCCCUCCAAAGGCGACUUCUGCAGACAAGUUCUCGGCAUCCUUCAAGAAGACAGAGCCUUUCUUUGCUCCUACCCUAACCUUGAAUCAAAUACAGCUUGGUGGGGCCUGAAGCUAGAGGAAUUCUCAGUAGCUAGGCUGGUGGAGAGCUAUCUAUUUGUGUAUAGGGUUGCAGCCAAAGUCUUUAAACUAAAACUAAAACCCUGUGUAUUAAAUAAAAUACUGGACAUGCAAAAGAACAUUCUCUUCGGCAAUCUCAGUAUACCAGCCCCUCUGUGUAGUGAACGCUAUCACAUUUUCUUCUCACUUUUCUAGAUAACCAUCUAGAAAGGUGUUCAAUCUCUUGGGGGGUAAUCCAUAGUCCUCCAGGGUUAUUUCCAAAAGUCUUGUUGAUGUUAUCAGUGUUAACACAGAACCUCUUCUGAUUAGUGUUCAAUCUUACUGUGGAAUAGCUAUUUUCUCUCAAAUAUUAUUAGAAAAUUAGUAAAACUUAAAAAUGAGCAGGUUGGGCCAAUUUUACCCCUACUGUCCUACUGCUAUUCAAAGACCUAGCACUUCUGUACAUACAAGUACACUGCACUCAAAAUGAGAUUCUCUGUUUCUGCUUCUACUUAGGUUCCAAGGCAGGUAAUCAGUCUAACCAGAUGACAGGUGAGCAAUCUGAGGUGAAGCGACUUAUGACAUUUGACCCCCAUUAUUGUCUUGGAAAUACUUAAUGCUACGUAUUGGAAAGAAGGAAAACCUACUGGCUGUUGUAAACAAUUUCUAAUAACAUGGGAGAAAGAAGAAAAAAGCAGAGUGAAAUUUUAUAGGGUGGGGAAAACCUGGAGGAAACUUUCCUUUGAAAGCCAGGAGUCCAAACUGUAGAUAGGAUAGUACAGAACUUCAGCAAUCCCCAAGUGUUCUAGCGGAAUUUAAAACAGAGGAUGAAACUUGGAGAACUCUGGGCUAGGUAUGACCUGCAAAUAUACUUUUAAAAAUUCAAUUAAUAUUUAAAAAUCAGUAUUUUCACAUAAGAUAAUGACUAUUUUUUGUUUUGAAAAUUUUGGAAGCUCUGGCAGCAUUGGGCCUUUAUUUCUGCAUUGUCAGGAACUGGGUUAUGGGUGUUCCUUCUAGUUGAGGGGUGUUUGAGGUCCACUCUGUCAUCUACCUGGCCAGUCACAGCAAAGCUGGAUGUAGUUAAAUAUGGAAGGCACAACUGGACUAGGGGGAUUGGAUAAGUCCUUGAACAAGUACCUGAGGUAAAACAUCAUAAGUUAAAAGGAGGGGAUACUGGUGUGAGUUCUGUUUCUCAAAAAUGGGUGUUACGUUCUAAAAUUAAUGUUAAUUUGGGUUCCUUUUUUCCAAUUUCCCCACUCUCUGCCAUACUUUAUUCUCUGACUUAGCAUUAGACCUAGAUAAGUUAGUUAAUAUUCCUGUACUUUUGGUGCCUCAUACACAAAAUGGGAACAAUUAUAACUACCUCCUAAGGUUUCAGUAAGACCGAAUAAGACAAUGGAUAACAAUGACACCACACAAUGCCUGAAGCAUAAUAAACACUUAAAUGUUGGUUGGUAUUAUGAUUGGUAUUCUUUAAAAAGUGCUAUUACUUGCCAUUAUUGACUUCUGAAAUUGGAGUGUUCAAACAAACAAGAUGUUGAGAGGCUCAGGCAACCAGUAUGGUUGGAAAUAAUAAGAAAGUUAGUUAACUACCGUGAUACUACACUAACCCUUGAAAAAAUGUGUGGUGUUUUAAGAAAUUGCUUGCUAAAUUUCUGUUUGGCUUCAGCAAAACCUCAGGUUCCAUUCUUGGAGUAUGAAAGAGGCAGUUAAGGCAAGAAAAGUACAUUUAGAAGUUUAAAGAAUGCAAGUGUCCUAUGGGUUGAGAAAUGAGAUUAAUCCUUCCUUGACUAGUGCUCUUUUUACUGGCAGGAUACAUUCUUUAGGAAAAGGAGUUAUGCUGGCUGUGGAAGUAAAUAAUUACAGGUGCUCUCUUAUUUAUUUUCUAUUUAUUUUUCAACCCCAGGUCCAUUUUAUUCUCAAAUGUAACUUCUUUGCUUAGUCAACUUGGUUUUUGGUAAAAUUGUUCUUAAAGCAUUCAGUUUACAUAAUUAAAUAUGGUUGUGUGGUUACCUUUUACAUCCCAACCUAAGGACCUCCAUAUAGCCAGGUGUGGCUCACGCCUCUAAU